AUUGAACGCUGGCGGGAUGCUUUACACAUGCAAGUCGAACGAGUGGCGGACGGGAGAGUCAUGUAUCGGAACGUGCCCAGUAGCGGGGGUAAACUACUGGAAAGAGAGGCUAAUACCGCAUACCAUCGGAGCGGCCGGUAUCGGAUUAGCUGGUGGGUGGGGUAAAGGCUCACAAAGGCCACGAUCCGUAGCUGGGUUGAGAGGACGACCAGCCACACUGGAACUGAGACACGGCCCAGACGCCUACGGGAGGCAGCAGUGGGGAAUUUUGGACAAUGGGGGAAACCCUGAUCCAGCCAUCCCGCGUGUAUGAGAAGGCCUUCGGGUUGUAAAGUACUUUUGGCGGGGAGGCGGUAUCUGCAGAAUAAGCACCGGCUAACUACGUGCCAGCAGCCGCGGUAAUUC
Molecule: ribosomal RNA, 405 nt
Filed under: uncultured bacterium
Lineage: Bacteria
Description: partial 16S ribosomal RNA
Rfam family: Bacterial small subunit ribosomal RNA
Source: RNAcentral